This 3148-nucleotide long non-coding RNA is filed under the name Citrus sinensis (sweet orange). RNAcentral describes it as "long non-coding RNA (CSIN_LNC003310)". The record is from RNAcentral. Lineage: Eukaryota; Viridiplantae; Streptophyta; Magnoliopsida; Sapindales; Rutaceae.
UCAGAUACACUCUAUAUACAAUGCUCAUAUUUUCUCUUUCAUUUUAAGCAAUACACAAACUAAAAAGGACUCUACUUCAACCAGGAGCCAAGAUAAUUGUUAAGGGUUUGCUAACCCUUGACACUCAAAACAUGGGAUAAGAGGUUUUAGAUAACGUCAGAUUGUAAAGGUUGAUUAAUACAUUGGAAGUUAAUUGUAAAGAUUUUGAAGCCUUAAGGUGUAAGGCUUAGAUAGUGAAAUUCUCAAGUCCGAUGAGCUUGGAGGGGUGGACAUAUGCGAAGUUUGCCGAACCACGUAAAAAUUCCUUGUUCGGUUCUCUUUCCCUUCCCUCUCUAUAUUUUGAUUAUUGAUAUUAAUUUGAUUAUCAUUUAUUUAAGUUUAUCUUAUAUUUGCAUUCAUUUUGUUUUAAUUAUUUCAUAAGUUUUAGAAAUUCAAUUCACCCCUUCUUGGGUUGCAUAGCCAGUAUUUCAACAUCCUUUAUUCUUUCUAAAUUUCAUGAACAGUCCAAUUAGGGAGCACUCCUCAAUUACAUUAGGCACCAUAUCCCAUCAAAUACAAAUAUAUUAUGUUUAGCUUCUUUUUUUUUUCCCCUAAAAUCUAGUCAAAACAUAAAGUUUGGUAAAUAUUUCAUUUAGGCACUAAUUUUGCGACCUAAAUGAAAAUUAAUUCGUUUCCAUUUUCAUUUGCUUAUACUAUUAUAAAUUAAUUUGAUAUUAUUAUAUUCAUUUUUUACCAUAAUGUUACAUAAAAUUAAUAACCUAAUUUGUAUCACAACUACAUAUGUAUCUUUCAUCUUUUUGGGGACAAUUAUGUCCAAAUAAUAUACAUUUUAGUCAUGUAAUCAAAGGACAUAAUUGUUCAAAGGUAUAUAUUAUAGUUGGAUAAAAACUACCCUUAUAUUAAUAAGUAGAGAUAUGAAUCGCUCUAUAUGCAUCGUGGGAUUGAUUUUUUCCAAAUACUUGAAAAUAAAUUUAGUUCAAUGUGGGUCUAGAUAUUCCGAUUGCACUGCAUGAUCAAAAAGUUCAUAAAAUAUUCCUAUAAUUUUUUUAUGUAAACUAAUAAAAUUUAUAAUGUUAAAACAAUAAAAUUUAUAAUGCAAUAUUAAAAAUUACAAUCAAUUAAUAAUUGAUUUUAUUAACAUAGAUUUAAAUAUUGUUCUCAUUAGUAUAAAUGUCUCAUAUUUUAGUAUAUUUUCAUGUUAUAUAAAAAAUAAAAAAGUACAUUUCCAUGUAAAGUUGAGGAGGUAUUUGGUACUUGGUAGUUUUCUAGUUUGGAUUAACAAGUUUACUAUUUACUUAAAGUGAGGGUUGCUUUAUGAUAGUUACCAUUAUUAUUUGUUGCUUUAUCUUUGGACAUACUAUUGACUUUGGCGCCUUUGGUAUGAGAAGAAGGAAAUGGUAAAAAAGGGACACCAGUUCUAGCUAGCGAGCCAACUCCGACGCUCAAGCUAAUAAUAGGAUUCUUUAAGGUUUACAUUGGAUUUUAAGACAAAUAAUAAUGUUUUUUGAGCUUAAGCAUAUAUAUGUAGAUGAGAAGAAAAUAAGAGAGCGAUGAAUGAAUAUAAGUGAUAGGGAGCUAAGCCUUAUAUAGCUGAGUUAUUCCUCCUUGAUUCAUCUACUGUCCUAGAGGCUAAAAGACCUAUUUAGCUUGUUCAAGUGAUUUGUGUAAGUCACUCUUUUCUUCAUGAGUCAAACGAGAUAUUUGUUUCCUUGUUAAUAGAGAAAAAGGAAUAUUCCCAUAAUAUAUUCCUCAUGGUUUAUUCAUAGCUCAUCUCUUGAAAAUAUAUCUAGUUUCAUUAGUUAUUAAGAUUUCUUGAUAAGAUUUGUUAUAAUCUCAUCUGUUGAGGAAAAAGACAAAACAGUGGGCAGAGAUCAAUAAAGAUCACCUCAAAUAUUUUCUCAAGAUAGAGAUAAUCUCAGAUAUUUUUCUUGAUGUAAAGAUCACCUUAGGAGCUUUCAAAAUGGUUACCUCGGUCUUUAAGAUAUUUUCACAUUUAGCUAUUGAGUAUAUUUACCACAUGUCCUAUUUCUUUGAUAUCCACGAAUGGCAUAUUCUUUAGGUAUAACAUUACCGUUAAUGAAAAUUAUUAUUGAACAACGUAUUAACAUGCACAGAACAUUUUUGGGACAAAAGAAAGGACAAAAUAUUCGAAUGUUUUCUAAGUCUCAUACUCAAAUUCAUAAAAGAUAAUAGAUAAGGAUUAAUAUAUCAUUUUUUUAAUAUAUAACAAUAUUAUGAAAAUUUACAGAUAAAGAUAAAAUAGUUAAAGCAUUUGAUAGUUCACAAUAGGCAAAAGGCUCAAUUCAUAUAAGUGAUUAUAAUUAAAAAAGAAAAAGAAAACAACACAAUUAGUAUAAUUUGAAAAUAAGAAUUUACAAAAAUUGAAUCGAUCAAUCUUUGUAAAUCUAUACCAAUGAUAGAGACAAUCAAUAAUUUUUAUUUAUUAAUUUAUUUCCAUCACUAUUCUAUUCUUCUUGAGGAAAAUUUUUAGAAUACAUUAGAAAUACUACACUCAAUUAAUGCAUAUAUAUCACGUGUAGUUUAAUUAAAUAUAACUACUGAUUUUACAUGGUUAAUUUUUAAAAUAAAUGCACUCAUGGUAUAUAUGCAUUAAUUGGGUAUAGUAUCUCUGAUAAACUUAGAAUCUCUCAUUCCUACUGUAUGUGGUAUAAUAUAAGAGAGAAAGAAACUUAAUCAAGCUCCACUGUCCAUCCCAUCUCGUCUUCAAUACAGCCGGAUUGAAUUCCUGUUAGAAUUUCAUAUAGCUUUUGACCCACAGUCCCUACUCCUCUUUUAUACUCAGUCCUGCGUUCAGAGAAAAUAAAUAUUAUUUGUUGUAAAUUAAUAUGGAUUCAAUCUAUAAUCCCAUGUAAUUAAAACACUAAUAAUGUUGUUUUAAACCUUUUAUCUUGAUAGGUUAUGCUAUUAACUGGAUUAACCACCACUGCGGUUCCCGUACAAAAAACUUCUUCAGCAUCAAAUAAUUCCUCCACCAAAAUGGCUCGUUCUUCAACCUAAUCAAAGUUGAAUGUGAUUAUUGAGUUGAUAACAUCUCUUUAUACAUGUAUGUAUGUACGAGUGUGUGUGUAGAAUCUAGUUCAUGUAAAAAAUUAGUAAAUAAAGAAUGGCAAAAAUAAAGAGAUACCUG